Molecule: small nuclear RNA, 23 nt
Filed under: Arabidopsis thaliana (thale cress)
Lineage: Eukaryota; Viridiplantae; Streptophyta; Magnoliopsida; Brassicales; Brassicaceae
Description: snRNA_14821
Source: RNAcentral
UGGCUUCCACAUCUAUUGCCACC